Molecule: unclassified non-coding RNA, 384 nt
Filed under: uncultured fungus
Lineage: Eukaryota; Fungi
Description: sequence contains ITS1
Rfam family: 5.8S ribosomal RNA (bases 1-104)
Source: RNAcentral
GAACCGCGAAAUGUAAUGUGAAUUGCAGAGUUCGUGAAUCAUCAAAUCUUUGAACGCACAUUGCACUGCUUGGAAUUCCAGGCAGUAUGUCUGUUUGAGUAUCUGUACUCUUACCAUCGACCUAGGGCGCUAGUCUGUUAUGGACGAGCAACCGCGGUCGGAUAUGGAACUGCGUGCGAGCAAUUGCGCGGGUUCUGAAAUUGAUAAUGCCUACGUGCUACACUAGUGUAGCCGUGGGCGAGUAGGCUUGACAAGCCUGCACGCUGCUUGUUGCAUGACUGAACGUCCAAUUCUAUCAAGCGCUAGGCAAGCAGCGACCUCGAGUGACUCUAGUGGUCCUCAAACCAUGAUCUAAAAUCAGACAAGACUACCCGCUGAACUUAA